RNAcentral lists this unclassified non-coding RNA (4305 nucleotides) under Ceratitis capitata (Mediterranean fruit fly). RNAcentral's name for it is "uncharacterized LOC101458891, transcript variant X4". The record is from RNAcentral. Lineage: Eukaryota; Metazoa; Arthropoda; Insecta; Diptera; Tephritidae.
AUGAUGUACAUUGAACACACGCCCUUGGAGGACAAUCUACAAUAUUUCUUGAAAAAUCACAUUCCCGCUAGUGACGCCAAUUCUAUUCUGGCGCAUGUACGCGGCUUUGAUGAAAUUUCUGCUACUCAACUGCAUACGCAGACACAAGCUAACAUUGCAUACUCUCGCUAUAGCGGAAACUUAAAUGUGCUCCACUUGAGUGAUACAUCUUCUAGAAUUAAAGUUCCAAACAUAACCGAUAAAGAUACAAAUAGUUAUUUUGCUAGAAAAAAAUUGUCACCGCCAGGUGCACGAAACCGUAACGCUUCAUCACCACCACAACUUAACGGAAUCGGUAAUAUUACAUACGAAGAAGAAGGUGAAGAGGAGGAAAAAUAUGAAUUGAUUGAUAUUGUUGAUGAUCCAGAAGAGAGAGGUGAUACAAAAAACAACGAGCUCACGCAGGAGUCUUCAGCCAAUUGCGUUGAAAAAGUGCAAACACCUGUGACUGAAGAAAUUAUUAUACAAAUAGAAGGCGAAGAAGAUAAUUACGAUUAUUUUGUGCAACCAGCACCCAAACAGAGAAAACAUAGUCCAACUAGAGCACCAAACCAUCAACUUUUUGGUCAACGCCGACAGAGUGCCGGUGAACCACAGAAAGCACGCAAGCGGCCAUUACGUCCCGUGCCAGCAGCUAUACCGAUUGAAGCUAUACAAACUGAGUUGGAAUUGCCGCCACUGGAACUCAUACCACCGCAACCACGCCGAAAGCGUGUUUUGAAUGGUCAAUUACCGCUUCCAUUAGAGCGUUGUGAUAGUGCAGAAAGUGUAACAAGUAGCUAUUACUUGGCUGAGGACGACGUUGAAUUUGCAGGUUAUAAUUACACAAAGGGUCACCGAAGACUGCUAGAAAACGGACAAGCAGAAGGGGAGGAAGAACUAGAAACAGAAGAAGACUACGAUACAUACUACACGUUGCCAGAACGUACGUCGGGUAGACCUACCAACUCACAAAUGGGUAUCGAUAUAUUCAACAGACUGCGUCGUUUGUUGAAUUUAAACACUGAUUCUGCAGGCAAUACACAAGGAGAGGAUACGCGAAAAAGGUCGGCAAAUUACUCAGCAGAUGCCAAUCCGCAUCCAAUUAAAUAUAAAAAAGUGCACAACCGAUUUCCUAAAAUUAUAACCCACAAAUUGGAUGACGCCGAUUUUGAUGUGAUCUCAUCCUUUCCAAAGCACGAAAAACAAAUGUUGUCAUGCAAAUCGCCUAGCAGCGCCUCCCAAAAUUCAUUAGAGAUGACACAACGUAAAUCAUUACACUCCAUUGAAAAACCGAAAUACCGAAAGUCAAUGUUUACUGCGCCUACAAUAACUCAUCGGUUGGUUAAAAAUACUUCCUAUGCGGAUGUCGAGUUUUCCGACGAUGAUGAACCAGAGUUGGUUCGAGGAUUUGGCGUUGGCCUCGCCAGCGGGCCUGUAAUGCGUGGUGAACACACCGUCAAUCCAUUACCACGCACUAUUAAUGUACCCAUAAUGCGUGAAAGUGAAAAUGCUAGAGCGGCGAUUAUGAAACCGCCGCCACCACUUAUUGAACCGCGUACAGGCAGUAUCCUAGCGACAUCACUUAUGCCUGAAAUUGAUUUGACGAAACGCAAGCCCUUAUCAUACUCAGAGGUUCUGCGACAAAGCUUGCAAAUUCCAAUGGGUAGUGGCCAUGUUUUAGGCAGGCGUACGGCGAGCUCAGCGUCGUCCUCGGGUGCCACAUCUGCAUCUAAUGGUGGUAUAAAUAUUUUAGGCAACUUACGUUCCAACAUGUGGUCCACAAAUGCGCGUUCCAUACUAUCGCAUGAAAUAGAAAGUGAAGAGCACGAAAAAUACCAGCAACUAUUGCAGCAGGUAGUACCAUGCUUGUAUGGCAGCACAGAGGGUGCGAAUGCGCGUACGUUGCCAAAGCCAGCAUUUGGUUUUGAUGCGCCACAAAAACGCAGUGCUUUGCAGCAUGUCAAUCUCGGCAAUCAGAAGUCCGUGAGCAACCAACGUAGGUCACUAACAGAGCAAAAUAGUUAUGGACGUGCAUUGAAAAGACCACCAUUGUCGUCUACAAUCAAUUUGGACGAUGACGAUGAUGAUGGUGAUGAAGAGAAUAAUGAUGUCACGUUGGUAAAUGUGAGAAAACAAACGCCUGUACGGACAGCUUUGCCCACGGUUAUUGUCGACGACGAUGACGAUGAAAUAAGUGAAAUCAUCGACUUGGACGAUGAUGAGCGGCAAGUGGUGUCGGCUUGCACAAAAUUGAAAGAUCAGAACGAGAGCGGUCCAGGGUUAGGCGCAAAUGAUAAGAAAAAGUGCUUGACAAGAUUGCCCUACGUUGAGCCGGUUAAUACGUUGCAAGAACGUUUCAAUACUUCACCACAUCUCAAGUCAAAUUGGCUUGAGUCAUUGCAAUCGAAAUGGACUGAAAAGAAGAAGAGUCGUCUACAGGAGGUCAACGAAACCGUGAAUGUCCUAGAAAAGCUAACAGCCGAGCGUCGUGCCGCCGAAUUGGAAAUGCAAGAACGCCUGCGUAAAAUACAAAUAGUCGAUCCAGAUUUGCUUGUGAUCGAUGAUUUCCCAGAACCAGUUAUAGAGGAAGAACCUGAAUUUAUAGAUUUAACACCGGAACAUCAAAAUCGUAUAAAGGCCGCUGUAAUGGGGCCACCAGAUCAGGUUUUGGUUUCGAAAUUCAAUUUAAACAUUACACGUCGCGAUAUACACACCCUGCUAGGUCACAACUGGCUGAACGAUGAAGUUAUCAACUUCUAUAUGAAUCUACUGACCGAGCGUGGUGAGAAAAGGCACGAAAAACACGGUUUACCCACUGUAUACGCAAUGAAUACAUUCUUUGUGCCACGCUUACUGUCAGCUGGUCAUGGUGGCGUCAAACGUUGGACUCGCAAAGUGGAUAUAUUCUCCAAAGAUAUUAUUCCAGUGCCCGUGCAUGUGGGUGGUGUGCAUUGGUGUAUGGCUAUUAUACAUCUAAAAAAUCGUACCAUUAAAUACUAUGAUUCGAUGGGCACACCAAAUCCUACCGUGCUAAAAGCACUCGAACAAUAUCUCAAGGAUGAAUCGUUGGAUAAGCGAAAGCAACCUUACGAUACUAGCAAUUUCGAAAUCGAGUCGGUACGUGAUGUACCCCGUCAAAUGAAUGGCAGUGAUUGUGGUGUAUUCAGUUGCAUGUUUGCCGAGUAUAUUACACGUAAUCGUGAGAUAACAUUCUCGCAACAGAAUAUGGAAUAUUUCCGUCACAAAAUGAUAUUAGAAAUUGUUAGUGGCGAAUUGUUGCAGUAAAACCGUAUAAAUAAUGAUAAUUGGUAAAAGGCUGCAGCGAGAUGAAGUAUAUGAACGUGUGUAUGUGCUGGUUGGACUGGGCAAAAAUGUAAAAGUAAGUGUAUUUUCCAAGCCAUACGCUAAGAAAUUAAUCAUUCUUGACAGUUCAGUAAUAGACAACAUGUAUGUCGCCUUUAGUAUAAAUCUUUCAUUUCAUUUGUACGGCAUUGGUAUAUUUUCUAUAAAGCAAACUGAACACCAUGAUGAAAACUAAAAGCCGCGACGUUCAAUAUAGUAUUCAAAAGCACUACUUUCUCUUCGUUAAUUACUUCAUUGCUGUCGUUUUGGAUAGUUUUUUUUUUUUUUUCUCAAUUUACUGUUCAGUUUAUAUAUAUUAAUAAUCAGUAAUGCAGUUUACAUUAAAUUGAAAUUUCGCGCAAUAAUUGCACUACUUAACUCUAUUUUAUUAUAAAAAAAAAGUCUAGAUUAAAAUUUGCAAAUAUAAAAUAUAAUAUAUACAUACCAACAAAAACAAAAAAGCAUAACUUAUUAUGUAAUAUUCUGUUUAAGAUUUCGUGGAUACAAUUCGUAUUUUUAAUAAUUGAAUAAUCUUUUAUUUAUGUAUUGCGUGUGUACGAUUUAUGUACAUAAUCGCUAUUUAAACGUCUCAGUUGUGUGACAAAAUUCAUAAAAAGGAAAGAAAAAAAUAUGUUUUGAUGAAUGCUCAAACGCACUUUAAUUUCUUUUCUUAAAUUAUAUAUCCAUCUAAAUGUAAAAACAAGUAUAAAAUAAUGCUUGGGUUCUAUUAAAAUUUGCAACAGUCGAAAGAAAAAAAUAGUAAAUGGCAACCAACCUACUACAUAACAUACAUAACUAAUUUAUCUGUCUAUAAUAAGCCGUCUACAGUUAUAAGGUUGCAUUUCUGAAUUACAUACAUGCGUAUAUUUAGUUUAAAAACAAAUAUUAAUAAUUUGUAUGUCACUGAUUGAAACAAUAAAUACCUACUAUAGAAAAAAAUAA